This 26-nucleotide non-coding RNA is filed under the name Homo sapiens (human). The record is from RNAcentral. Lineage: Eukaryota; Metazoa; Chordata; Mammalia; Primates; Hominidae.
UGAACAGUUAGCCAGGUUGUGAAUGC